AUGGGUGACCUGAUUCCGGGCCUCCCGGAGGAGGUGGCGCGGGAAUGCCUGCUCCGGGUGGGGUUCCGUCAGCUCCCAGCAGCGCGCCGCACCUCGCGGCAGUGGAAGGCGGAGGUGGAGUCGCCGCUCUACGGCCGCCUCCGCCGGGCCAACGGCCAUGCCCGCCCAAUCCUCGCCCUCGCCCAGGCCCUUCCCGCGCUCGCCGCCUCCGGCCCGGCCCGCAAGUACGCUGCGUCCGCCGCCCUCUCCAACUCCUACCGGCUCGUGCUCCACGACCCGGCCGACGGAGGGUGGGCCACUCUGCCCCCGCUCCCAGGCGGCCGGGGGCUCCCGCUCUUCUGCCAGCUCGCCGCCGUGGCCUGUGGCGAGAGGAGGAAGCUGGUGGUGGUGGGCGGCUGGGACCCUGAGACGUGGGCGCCGACGGACACGGUGCACGUGUACGACUUCCUGGAGGGCGCGUGGCGGAGCGGCGCGCCGAUGCCUGGGCCGCGUCGGUCGUUCUUCGCAUGCGCGGCGACCGGAAGAAGGGUGUUCGUCGCCGGCGGCCACGACGAGGAGAAGAACGCGCUGCGGUCGGCGGCGGCAUACGACGCCGAGGCCGACGCGUGGGCGGCGCUGCCCGACAUGGCGCUGGAGCGGGACGAGCCAAGAGGGGUCCGCGUCGGCGCCAGGUUCGUCGUGGUUGGCGGGUACCCGACGGAGGCGCAGGGCCGGUUCACCGGCACCGGCGAGGCAUUCGACACAGACGCCUGGGCGUGGGAUCCAGUGCUGGACAGGAUAGUCAACGAGGGGGCGUGCCCGGGGACGUGCUGCGCCGCGCCGUCCGCGGCAGGCGCCAUGUACAUGCUACGUGACGGCCACCUCGCGGUGCGGGACGGCGACAGCGGGUGGCGGGCGGUGGCGCCGGUACCGGAGGACGGGCGCGCGGCGACGGUCAUCGUGGCCAUCGGGGACGGCCGCGUGGCCGCCAUCGGCGCCGGGCGCCACGGCGGUGAGCAGGCCGUGUAUGUGCUCAACAAGGAGGCUGGAACCAACGGGGCGGCGCCGUCGUGGGCGCGCGCCCGGGCGCCGCAGGAGUUCGCCGGGCACGUGCAAGCCGCGUGUUGCGUAGAAGUAUGA
RNAcentral lists this ribosomal RNA (1119 nucleotides) under Triticum aestivum (bread wheat). RNAcentral describes it as "partial small subunit ribosomal RNA". Lineage: Eukaryota; Viridiplantae; Streptophyta; Magnoliopsida; Poales; Poaceae. The record is from RNAcentral.